UAAUAAGAAGCAAAUCUCUUGCAUUUAGUUUCGACCUAAAAAUUAGAUUAACCAAAUAAUCCUUAUUUU
This 69-nucleotide transfer RNA is filed under the name Metoecus cf. javanus JL-2021a. RNAcentral describes it as "tRNA-Arg". Lineage: Eukaryota; Metazoa; Arthropoda; Insecta; Coleoptera; Ripiphoridae. The record is from RNAcentral.